RNAcentral lists this ribosomal RNA (532 nucleotides) under uncultured microeukaryote. RNAcentral's name for it is "SSU rRNA". It matches the Rfam family "Eukaryotic small subunit ribosomal RNA", at positions 21 to 557 of the family's 1831-position model. The record is from RNAcentral.
UAGUCAUAUGCUUGUCUCAAAGAUUAAGCCAUGCAUGUCUAAGUAUAAACUGCUUUAUACUGUGAAACUGCGAAUGGCUCAUUAAAUCAGUUAUAGUUUAUUUGAUGGUACUUACUUACUCGGAUACCCGUAGUAAUUCUAGAGCUAAUACGUGCGUACAUCCCGACUUCUGGAAGGGACGUAUUUAUUAGAUAAAAGGCCGACCGGGCCUGCCCGACUCGCGGUGACUCAUGAUAACUUCACGAAUCGCAUGGCCUUGCGCCGGCGAUGUUUCAUUCAAAUUUCUGCCCUAUCAACUUUUGAUGGUAGGAUAGAGGCCUACCAUGGUGGUAACGGGUGACGGAGAAUUAGGGUUCGAUUCCGGAGAGGGAGCCUGAGAAACGGCUACCACAUCCAAGGAAGGCAGCAGGCGCGCAAAUUACCCAAUCCUGAUACAGGGAGGUAGUGACAAUAAAUAACAAUACCGGGCCUUUGGUCUGGUAAUUGGAAUGAGUACGACCUAAACACCUUAACGAGGAUCGAUUGGAGGGCG